This 5328-nucleotide ribosomal RNA is filed under the name Triticum aestivum (bread wheat). RNAcentral's name for it is "partial small subunit ribosomal RNA". Lineage: Eukaryota; Viridiplantae; Streptophyta; Magnoliopsida; Poales; Poaceae. The record is from RNAcentral.
AUGGAGACGGCUAUCGGUGCUGCCAACUGGCUCGUCGGCAAGGUGUUGGACAAGCUGUCCGACGACCUGGUGGACGCGUAUUUGGCCAGCACCAAGCUCGGCCUCAACUCCGAGAAGGUCAAAAUCAAGCUGAAGCACGUGAAAGGGCUGCUGCACGCGGCCCAAGAGAGGGACGUGAGCAGCAACCUUGGCCUGAAGAGCUUGCUGGAGAACCUGAGCAAGAAGGCCGAUGAGGCUGAGGACGCGCUGGAUGAGCUGCACUACUUCCUGAUCCAGGAUCAGCUCGAUGGCACCAAGGAGGCCAUGCCGGAGCUUGGUGAUGGCCUCCGUGCUCAUGCUCUCCAUUCUCGCCAUGCUGCUCGCCACACAUUCGGUAACUGGCUCUCAUGCUUUUCUUGCUCGCCUACACAUGAUGAUGUUUCUGCUGCUCCUAGUGUUGUUACCAUCAGUAACCAUCACAAUGCAACCAAGUCUGAUUGUGGUAAUGAUGGUGGCUAUGUUGCAAAGAUGAAAUUCAAUAGAGUGGACAUGUCCAAAAAAAUCACGUCAGUGAUAGAGGGCAUACACGAUCUAUGUGAUCCGGUCUCUGACCUGCUGAAUAAAAUCCCAAACCAUACCACAUCUACCACCGUAAAAAGGCCUCUCACGAGCUCAGUGGCUCCACCAGAUAGGUUGUAUGGGAGGGAUGCCACCUUCGAGAAAACCAUAAGUGCACUCACUGGUAGCAGAUAUCAGGGUGAAACACUUUCAGUUAUGCCUUUUGUCGGCCCUGGGGGUAUAGGAAAGACAACUUUCGCCCAACACUUGAGUAAUGAUAAAAGGAUUGAAGAACACUUCAUUGUUAGGGUCUGGGUAUGUGUUUCAAAUGAUUUUGAUGUGCUUAAGCUCACCCAGGAAGUCCUGAGUUGCAUAUGUGAAAAUGGAAAAAAAGAUGAAACCUCCAAUUUGGACAAGCUUCAGAAAUCGAUUGCAGAUAAACUGAAGUCCAAAAGAUUUUUAGUUGUCCUAGAUGAUAUAUGGAGUAUCAAUAGUGAAACCGAGUGGAAGAAAUUAUUGGCCCCAUUCACAAAGGGGGAAACCAAUGGUAGCAUGGUUCUCGUCACAACCCGGUUUCCAUCUAUAGCACAAAAAGUGUGCACAACAGAUAUAGUAGAACUGGAUGGUUUGGAGCCUAAUGACUUCUUGGAAUUAUUUGAAGCAUCAAUAUUUGCUGGUCAUAACAAACCCGGGAACUAUGAUGAUGACUUAAUUGAUGUUGCAAGAGAAAUUGCAAAGAAGCUAAAGGGUUCACCACUAGCAGCCAAUACGGUUGAAAUGCAAAAUCCAAAAUCUUUGCCAAACAACUUUCCAAACCUUUUGCACCUCCGGUACCUUAAACUCAGUUCAUGCUACGAUGAUCCUGAAAUGGAUUUACCUAGCACCUUAUCUGGAUUUUACCACUUGAAAUUCCUGGACCUCAAAGAUUGGUAUGGAGAAGCUUGUGCUGCCGAACUGAAGAACAAAAAGAAUUUGAAAGAGCUGCAAUUAGUUUGGAGUACUGAGCAUCAGACCGCAGAUGAUGAUGUUCUUGACGGUCUUCAACCACACCCUCAUCUUAGGGUGCUUGGCAUUAUAAAUCCUGGUGUUGCCCCUUGCCCUAGAUGGUUGUGUGGUGACAUUAGCAUAAAACACCUGGAGUCUCUCCAUCUAGAGGGUAUAUCUUGGGGUACUCUUCCACCUUUUGAGCAUCUACCAUACCUCUCCAACCUCGUUUUGAGUAAUAUUGCUAGGAUGAGUGUCUUUGGGCCUCUCUUUAAUGGUAUUACAGAGAAAAGUUUCAUGAAGUUGAAGAAAAUUGAGUUUGUGAACAUGAGGGAACUUGUGGAGUGGGUCGGUGAACCUAAUAGCCACUUUUUUUCAAGGCUUGAAAGUAUUGGAUUUAGAGAUUGCCCCUUGCUCUCAAGGUUUCCCUUCAUGGAGUGCUCUGAGCGUUUUACCAACUUGCUUAGCCUUGCUAUUGUUAAGUGCCCCAAGAUUUCUCAGCUCCCCCCCAUGCCUCACACCUCCACGCUGGAAAAUAUUACUGUGUCAAAGCGCCAGUCAGCAAUACACGCAGAGAUGAUAUAUUUUGGAACACAUUUGAGUAUUGAAGGGUAUAAUGGUGAUUUGGCUUUCCACAAUCUGGAUAAAAUAGAGAGUCUGAGUAUUUUCGAUGCAUCAAACAUUUCGUUGAUAGACCUCAAAAAGCUAAACUCACUGAGAAGUGUACAUGUCAGCAAAUACGGAAGCAUGUUCUCUCCAGAACUGGAUGCUAGUGUUGCCCUGCAUUCAGUCCAGGAACUUGGCCUAGCAGAAUUAAGUAUUACAGAAGAAGUGUUUUCAAAGGUGUUUAGGUGUUUUCCAGCUCUUUGCAACCUUAGAAUCAUCAAAUGUGAAAUCCUGGAGCGUCUGCAUGUGGAGGAUGAAGAAGAACCAUGCGACCCCACCAUACGCCAAUCAUUUUCUGCAUCGUCGGUGUUGUCUCAGGAGUCCAUGGGAAGCGGUAACACCAUCAAACCUUUCCCAUCUUCCAUCAAGGAACUUGAGAUUCGCGAGGUCUCUGGCUUUAAGUCAAUGGACCUACUCUCCAAUCUCACAUCCCUCACCAGUCUAUGCCUGGAAGAUUGUGAAGAAUUAACAAUGGAUGGAUUCAAUCCUCUCAUCACAGUCAACCUCAAGAAACUGUAUGUCUUCAACAAGACUUCAGCCAAACAGAAGAUCUCAAUAGCAGGGGAUUUGUUGUCAGAGGUAGCAAGGAGCGGAUUAAUGCAGGAAGGAUCAUUCAAAUUGGAAAAACUGGAGGUGGAUAGCAUCUCGGGGGCUCUUGUUGCUCCCAUUUGCAGCCACCUUGCUUCAACCCUCCGUUCAUUAAUAUUCAGUCAUGAUAUGCGAGCGGAGUCCUUCACGGAAGGGCAAGAGCAGGCGCUUCAGUUCCUUACCUCCCUCGAAUUUCUGAUGUUUAAUGAAUGCCGUGAUCUGAAGUCCCUCCCAAGGUGUAAUCGCCUUUCUUCUCUCACGCAAUUGAGAUUCUCUAAGUGUGCAAUUCAAUCGCUGCCACCCAAGGAGGACCUGCCCGCUUCACUGGAGAGCCUAUAUGGAAUAAGUUGCAGUCCUGAGCUAAAAAAGACCAUGAAGAAGCUGCAACGAACAGACCCAUACUUCUCAACAAUAGUAGAUGUAAGUAGAAGCAGAUAUGAAGAAUCGGGAGGUGACAGUAGUUGCAGCAGCUAUGGAUUCUACAAACAGUGCCCUAUUUUGAAUGGAACUAACAGCACUAUGUUAGUAGAUUUUUUACCCCCUUCUAAUGUUGCAAGCUUUUACAUUCACAAAAUAAUAGUCCUUUAUGUUCUUCAUAAUCUCAGGAACAUUCCAGGUUCUGUACUUAACUUCCCUGGAGCAUUGACCAACUUGUUCGGGCAAUCACUGGCCAAUUUGAUAGUCAUUCAGGUUCUCUUCAUAUUUUGUUCAUUGUUGGGGAACCCAAACAUGAAGGGAGUCAUGGACUCAUUGUUUCUGACUAUCAUGACUACUUCGGAUGAUAGGUGCCACAAUUUAACCCAUGAGUGGUUGUGGCUUGUAUGUGCCCACUACAAUUUCGCAAGCACCCCUUCCCCCAUCCUCGCCGCCGUGCUCUGUGCCAUAGGGACGACGAGUGGUGGCACAACCACGUGCACUGCAUCCUCUGGAUACAUUAAGUCACCAGCUUUCGCCGUGUCAUGGAUGUCCGCACGUCGCUGCCAAACAUGUAUUCCGAAACUUGAGACAUGUUAUCUCACGAAGAGCAAUUACUCAAAUUCUGUGGAACAAUUGCAAGAGCCCGACCGGCGCCGGCGCCGGCGGGGCCUUCUCUUCCUCCUCCGCGUGAUGGGGGCGGUGCGGGUUCCUCCAUCAAGGGCGGGCGCGGGGCACCGUGGCGUGGCAGCGCGCAGCCCUCUGGCGGUACGUGGCGCUGCAUGGCAGACGGCGUGGGCGGCGACUGGGGUCCGGCUUUGGGUUGCUGGCAGCUGCGGUGGUUCCUCUCCGUCAUGGGCGUGCGGCGGUGGUGUGGCUCGGCCGGUGGCGGUCCGGCGACCUGGUGGUGGUGGCCGACGGUGCGCAUGGUGGUGGUGCUUCCACUUGGCGGCUCUCUGUGCGGGGAGGCAGGGCAACGGCUUCGACAGGGGCGGCGGAGCCGACCGCGUGCCGGCUGCAGCGCGAAGGCGGGAACUUUACGGGUCUCGGAGAUCUCGGACGGGCCUGUGCGGCCACGGGCCUGGUGUGGCCCUCCCGCGUGCCGAUGGUGCUGCUGCCCUAGUCCCGGCUCCUCUUCUUCAUUGUGCAGACCAUGCUUCACGGUGCCAUGAAAUCCCUGUUGGCUUGCCCGACAUCGACGCGGUGGCGCUUGUUGGUGCCGCCACACCUUCCUGGAGGGCGUCGGGGCUACCCUUCCUCUCUCCUCACCGCGUAGCGAGGGAAACCCUUGGCAGCAGCGUUGUCAUCGCCGCGUCCCUUCUUGGAGGUGUUGAUUGGUACCGGUGCUUCGGAGCCUCGGAGCUUGGUGGGCGAUCUCCGGUUUUCCGUUAUCUGUUGUGGCUCUGUGCUUCCCUACGAGGGAAGCCAAACCCGAAGAAAGUCAUGAUCCAAGUAUACCAAAUUCUCCCGUCAAACCACAAUAAAUUGAAUCUUUUUGCUGCUAGCUACAAAGAGCCUAACCUUCCAUGUAUCUACUUUUCAGUGGAGCGGCAAAUGCUAUGUCCAGACAAGAAAUCCCCUACGCACAAAGCCAUGGCAUUCCGGUCUCUUGACGACUCGGUCGCCCACUGCCAGGCUCUUCCUGCACGCGGAACCAGAAUGAUGCAGGCAACCAUAUCAUUUUCUGAAUUGAUGCCAACUACAUCGUCUCUUUUAUCGGCCUGCCCACUAGCUACGUGGUUUACUACCUGUAGUCCCGACUCCUGCUGGGAAUUCGGCCAGUCCACCUUCAAGCAACAUAAGGAACUAGGAACAGCUACAGGAACAUAUACUCUGAAGCUUAAAGCGGCGCUCCGUUCUGCGUCCUGGACUCUGGGACCCUGUUGUUACCUCACGAACGAACUGAAUCUUUGUACCUCCAAUUUUACGACGGUGCAGCAUCCUCAAUGUCCACUACAUUCUAUGCCCCGCCUCUGCUCCUAUGCCUACUCCAUCUUCUACGCCGACAACCUUGCCAUCCACCUGGGUGACCUGGCCAGCAUCCCCGUUGUAAUUUGGUGCCGACACCGGCCGAGAGCCUGCAGGCAGCAGCUCACCAUCCAUGCCAUAAUGUUCUGCGUCAGCAGCAUACUAGGUUGA